AGCAGCCGCGGUAAUUCCAGCUCCAAUAGCGUAUAUUAAAGUUGUUGCAGUUAAAAAGCUCGUAGUUGAAUUUCGGGAUCAAUACGUCGGUCGUGCUUCGGUACGUACUGGCGUAAUUGAUUUCUCCCUUCUGACGAACCAUGAUGUCAUUAACUUGGUGUCAUGGGAAAUCAGGACUGUUACUUUGAAAAAAUUAGAGUGUUUAAAGCAGGCUCACGCUUGAAUACAUUAGCAUGGAAUAAUGAAAUAGGACGUUCGAUCCUAUUUUGUUGGUUUUUAGGAUCAACGUAAUGAUUAAUAGGGAUAGUUGGGGGCAUUAGUAUUCAAUUGUCAGAGGUGAAAUUCUUGGAUUUAUUGAAGACUAACUACUGCGAAAGCAUUUGCCAAGGAUGUUUUCAUUAAUCAAGAACGAAAGUUAGGGGAUCGAAGACGAUCAGAUACCGUCGUAGUCUUAACCAUAAACUAUGCCGACUAGGGAUCGGAUGAUGUUAAUUUUUUAAUGACUCAUUCGGCGCCUUAC
This 520-nucleotide non-coding RNA is filed under the name uncultured Glomus. RNAcentral's name for it is "SSU rRNA". It matches the Rfam family "Eukaryotic small subunit ribosomal RNA", at positions 569 to 1091 of the family's 1831-position model. Lineage: Eukaryota; Fungi; Glomeromycota; Glomeromycetes; Glomerales; Glomeraceae. The record is from RNAcentral. RNAcentral also lists the same sequence under 1 other name.